RNAcentral lists this ribosomal RNA (522 nucleotides) under uncultured bacterium. RNAcentral describes it as "bacterial LSU rRNA". It matches the Rfam family "Bacterial large subunit ribosomal RNA", at positions 1802 to 2351 of the family's 2925-position model. The record is from RNAcentral.
GUUUACCAAAAACACAGGUCUCUGCUAACGCGAAAGCGGAUGUAUAGGGGCUGACGCCUGCCCAAUGCUCGUAGAUUAAGAGGAGAUGUCAGGGUAACCAAAGCAUUGAAUUGAAGUCCGAGUGAAUGGCGGCCGUAACUCUAACGGUCCUAAGGUAGCGAAAUUCCUUGUCGGCUAAAUACCGACCCGCAUGAAAGGCGUAACGACUUGGGCACUGUCUCAACGAGAAAUCCGGUGAAAAUGUAGCACCCGUGAAGAUGCGGGUUACGCGCAGUAGGACGGAAAGACCCCGUGGAGCUUUACUACACCUUCAGAUUGUGAAUUGGAUGUAGAUGUAGAGCGUAGGUGGGAGCUUAGGCACCAAUGGAACACCACCCUUUUACAUCUGGUUUACUAACCUGCACCGUUAUCCGGUGUGGAGACAGUCUGUGGCGGGUAGUUUGACUGGGGCGGUCGCCUCCCAAAAUGUAACGGAGGCGUACAAAGCUGCACUCAGCCUGGUCGGAAAUCAGGCGUCGAGCG